Molecule: ribosomal RNA, 527 nt
Filed under: uncultured bacterium
Lineage: Bacteria
Description: bacterial SSU rRNA
Rfam family: Bacterial small subunit ribosomal RNA
Source: RNAcentral
AAUAGAUACCCCGGUAGUCCACGCCGUAAACGAUGAGUGCUAAGUGUUAGAGGGUUUCCGCCCUUUAGUGCUGCAGCUAACGCAUUAAGCACUCCGCCUGGGGAGUACGGCCGCAAGGCUGAAACUCAAAGGAAUUGACGGGGGCCCGCACAAGCGGUGGAGCAUGUGGUUUAAUUCGAAGCAACGCGAAGAACCUUACCAGGUCUUGACAUCCUCUGCCAACCCUAGAGAUAGGGCGUUCCCCUUCGGGAGACAGAGUGACAGGUGGUGCAUGGUUGUCGUCAGCUCGUGUCGUGAGAUGUUGGGUUAAGUCCCGCAACGAGCGCAACCCUUGAUCUUAGUUGCCAGCAUUCAGUUGGGCACUCUAAGGUGACUGCCGGUGACAAACCGGAGGAAGGUGGGGAUGACGUCAAAUCAUCAUGCCCCUUAUGACCUGGGCUACACACGUGCUACAAUGGAUGGUACAAAGAGCUGCAAACCCGCGAGGGUAAGCCAAUCUCAUAAAAGCCAUUCUCAGUUCGGAUUGU